RNAcentral lists this ribosomal RNA (701 nucleotides) under Staphylococcus sp. SK62.2. RNAcentral describes it as "bacterial SSU rRNA". It matches the Rfam family "Bacterial small subunit ribosomal RNA", at positions 70 to 753 of the family's 1533-position model. Lineage: Bacteria; Bacillati; Bacillota; Bacilli; Caryophanales; Staphylococcaceae. The record is from RNAcentral.
CAGAUGAGAAGCUUGCUUCUCUGAUGUUAGCGGCGGACGGGUGAGUAACACGUGGGUAACCUACCUAUAAGACUGGGAUAACUCCGGGAAACCGGGGCUAAUACCGGAUAAUAUUUUGAACCGCAUGGUUCAAUAGUGAAAGACGGUUUCGGCUGUCACUUAUAGAUGGACCCGCGCCGUAUUAGCUAGUUGGUAAGGUAACGGCUUACCAAGGCGACGAUACGUAGCCGACCUGAGAGGGUGAUCGGCCACACUGGAACUGAGACACGGUCCAGACUCCUACGGGAGGCAGCAGUAGGGAAUCUUCCGCAAUGGGCGAAAGCCUGACGGAGCAACGCCGCGUGAGUGAUGAAGGUCUUCGGAUCGUAAAACUCUGUUGUUAGGGAAGAACAAAUUUGUUAGUAACUGAACAAGUCUUGACGGUACCUAACCAGAAAGCCACGGCUAACUACGUGCCAGCAGCCGCGGUAAUACGUAGGUGGCAAGCGUUAUCCGGAAUUAUUGGGCGUAAAGCGCGCGUAGGCGGUUUCUUAAGUCUGAUGUGAAAGCCCACGGCUCAACCGUGGAGGGUCAUUGGAAACUGGGAAACUUGAGUGCAGAAGAGGAGAGUGGAAUUCCAUGUGUAGCGGUGAAAUGCGCAAAGAUAUGGAGGAACACCAGUGGCGAAGGCGGCUCUCUGGUCUGUAACUGACGCUGAUGUG